Molecule: ribosomal RNA, 396 nt
Filed under: uncultured bacterium
Lineage: Bacteria
Description: partial 16S ribosomal RNA
Rfam family: Bacterial small subunit ribosomal RNA
Source: RNAcentral
AUACAGAGGGUGCAAGCGUUAAUCGGAUUUACUGGGCGUAAAGCGCGCGUAGGCGGCUAAUUAAGUCAAAUGUGAAAUCCCCGAGCUUAACUUGGGAAUUGCUUUCGAUACUGGUUAGCUAGAGUAUGGGAGAGGAAGGUAGAAUUCCUGGUGUAGCGGUGAAAUGCGUAGAGAUCUGGAGGAAUACCGAUGGCGAAGGCAGCCAUCUGGCCUAAUACUGACACUGAGGUGCGAAAGCAUGGGGAGCAAACAGGAUUAGAUGCCCUGGUAGUCCAUGCCGUAAACGAUGUUUACUAGCCGUUGGGGCCCUUGAGGCUUUAGUGGCGCAGCUAACGCGAUAAGUAGACCGCCUGGGGAGUACGGUCGCAAGACUAAAACUCAAAUGAAUUGACGGGG